UUAAGUUCAGCGGGUAUCCCUACCUGAUCCGAGGUCAACCUUGAGUAAGUAGUGAUUUCACGGCAGGCACACGCCGGGUCUCCGGAAGCGAGAAGUGUUACUACGCUUGGAAGCCAGACGGCACCGCCACUGAUUUUAGGACACACCGGGGCCGGUGCUGCCCAACACCAAGCAGAGCUUGAGGGUUGUAAUGACGCUCG
RNAcentral lists this unclassified non-coding RNA (200 nucleotides) under Helotiales sp. RNAcentral describes it as "partial internal transcribed spacer 2". Lineage: Eukaryota; Fungi; Ascomycota; Leotiomycetes; Helotiales. The record is from RNAcentral.